Phyllostomus hastatus (greater spear-nosed bat) is the source of this 817-nucleotide long non-coding RNA. RefSeq lists it as uncharacterized. The transcript has 3 exons. The record is from RefSeq and is a predicted model, not a curated record. Lineage: Eukaryota; Metazoa; Chordata; Mammalia; Chiroptera; Phyllostomidae.
UCUGUCCUUUUGAUCCGUAAACGAGUAACCGGCCGUCCUCUCCCUGCAUCCGAGUGUGUGCGCGUGGUGUGUUUGCACACACCCUCCCGUGUGUUCCCGUCUCCUCACGGGCUCUGGUGAAUGGUUAACCCCGGCUUCAGCAAACACGCCACGGAAUCCACGACUCAGCACAGUCAGCGUUCCUCCCGGCACAGACAGAGAGCCCGGGUGAGUGAGUCCCAGACGGAACACGGGUUCCUCUUUCUCUCUUGCUGUGACGGACACCGGUGCUGAAAGAGGCCCUCCGGCAACACCCGAUGUCACCGCGGUUCCACGAAUGAGGCACGGUCACCAGACCGGGGUGCGUGAGACACUAUCAUCUACGGUCGUCCAUCGCCGCCGCCAUGGCAACCGGCCCGCAUCUGGAAGGGAUCAGGAGGGACUUUUCUGGAGGGGGAGGCGCGUGUGUCUCCAAUCUAAGUAACAGACGUGUCUGGUCCCUGUUCUGGACACUCGGUCUGACAUCAUGCGGAAUGCCAUCUGAAACGGGAUGAUAAAACUGCUACACAGGAAAGUCAGCCCUGGCCGGGUGUCUCAGUGGGUUGGAGCGUCAUCUUGGACACCAAAAGGUUGCGGGUUCGAUCCCCAGCCAGACCUCAUAUGAGAGAAAAGCAAUCGCUCUUUCUCUCACACUGAUGUCUCUCUCUCUCUCUCUUUCUCUCUCCUUCCUCUCUCUCUCUCUAAAAUCAAUAAAUAUACCCUUGGGUGACGAUUUAAAAAAAUAAAAACAAACAGAAAGAAAGUCAGAUAAUUGUCUGAGACCCAAGGCCCGUGAGGC